UUUCCGUAGGUGAACCUGCGGAAGGAUCAUUAGUGAAUUGAGUAUUUUAGCGGACCUCUUCCGAGUCCCUAGCAUAAAAGCAUAGCCAUAACACCUGUUAAAUGUAAGGCUGUCUUUAAAACGUAAGUGAUUACAGCGCCUCUCCAUUUUAUACAACGAUUAAAGUAAUAAGCGUUGUCUUAUUAUAAUCUAAUAGAACUUUCAACAACGGAUCUCUUGGCUCUC
This 225-nucleotide unclassified non-coding RNA is filed under the name plant metagenome. Its description in RNAcentral is "partial contains small subunit ribosomal RNA, internal transcribed spacer 1, and 5.8S ribosomal RNA". The record is from RNAcentral.